UACGAAGGGUGCAAGCGUUACUCGGAAUUACUGGGCGUAAAGGGUGCGUAGGUGGUUUCUUAAGUCCGUUGUGAAAUCCCUGGGCUCAACCUGGGAAUGGCAGUGGAUACUGGAAAGCUAGAGUGCGGUAGAGGGUAGUGGAAUUCCCGGUGUAGCAGUGAAAUGCGUAGAUAUCGAGAGGAACACCUGCGGCGAAGGCGGGUUGCUGGGCUGAUACUGACGCUGAGGCGCGAAAGCCAGGGGAGCGAACGGG
RNAcentral lists this ribosomal RNA (253 nucleotides) under uncultured bacterium. RNAcentral's name for it is "partial 16S ribosomal RNA". It matches the Rfam family "Bacterial small subunit ribosomal RNA", at positions 524 to 776 of the family's 1533-position model. The record is from RNAcentral.